UACGAAGGGUCCAAGCGUAGCGCGGAAUCACUGGGCUUAAAGGGUGCGUAGGCGGGCUUGCAAGUGCCUUGUGAAAGCCCCCGGCUUAACCGGGGAAUUGCUUGGUAGACUGCAAGUCUUGAGGUCGAAAGAGGCUGCCGGAACUGUAGGUGUAGCGGUGAAAUGCGUAGAUAUCUACAGGAACGCCAAAGGAGUAAUCAGGCAGCUGGUUCGAUUCUGACGCUGAGGCACGAAAGCAUGGGGAGCGAACAGG
Molecule: unclassified non-coding RNA, 253 nt
Filed under: uncultured Phycisphaeraceae bacterium
Lineage: Bacteria; Pseudomonadati; Planctomycetota; Phycisphaerae; Phycisphaerales; Phycisphaeraceae
Description: contains 16S-23S intergenic spacer region
Rfam family: Bacterial small subunit ribosomal RNA
Source: RNAcentral